RNAcentral lists this ribosomal RNA (2761 nucleotides) under Shigella sonnei. Its description in RNAcentral is "bacterial LSU rRNA". It matches the Rfam family "Bacterial large subunit ribosomal RNA". Lineage: Bacteria; Pseudomonadati; Pseudomonadota; Gammaproteobacteria; Enterobacterales; Enterobacteriaceae. The record is from RNAcentral.
ACACUAUCAUUAACUGAAUCCAUAGGUUAAUGAGGCGAACCGGGGGAACUGAAACAUCUAAGUACCCCGAGGAAAAGAAAUCAACCGAGAUUCCCCCAGUAGCGGCGAGCGAACGGGGAGCAGCCCAGAGCCUGAAUCAGUGUGUGUGUUAGUGGAAGCGUCUGGAAAGGCGCGCGAUACAGGGUGACAGCCCCGUACACAAAAAUGCACAUAUUGUGAGCUCGAUGAGUAGGGCGGGACACGUGGUAUCCUGUCUGAAUAUGGGGGGCCCAUCCUCCAAGGCUAAAUACUCCUGACUGACCGAUAGUGAACCAGUACCGUGAGGGAAAGGCGAAAAGAACCCCGGCGAGGGGAGUGAAAAAGAACCUGAAACCGUGUACGUACAAGCAGUGGGAGCACGCUUAGGCGUGUGACUGCGUACCUUUUGUAUAAUGGGUCAGCGACUUAUAUUCUGUAGCAAGGUUAACCGAAUAGGGGAGCCGAAGGGAAACCGAGUCUUAACUGGGCGUUAAGUUGCAGGGUAUAGACCCGAAACCCGGUGAUCUAGCCAUGGGCAGGUUGAAGGUUGGGUAACACUAACUGGAGGACCGAACCGACUAAUGUUGAAAAAUUAGCGGAUGACUUGUGGCUGGGGGUGAAAGGCCAAUCAAACCGGGAGAUAGCUGGUUCUCCCCGAAAGCUAUUUAGGUAGCGCCUCGUGAAUUCAUCUCCGGGGGUAGAGCACUGUUUCGGCAAGGGGGUCAUCCCGACUUACCAACCCGAUGCAAACUGCGAAUACCGGAGAAUGUUAUCACGGGAGACACACGGCGGGUGCUAACGUCCGUCGUGAAGAGGGAAACAACCCAGACCGCCAGCUAAGGUCCCAAAGUCAUGGUUAAGUGGGAAACGAUGUGGGAAGGCCCAGACAGCCAGGAUGUUGGCUUAGAAGCAGCCAUCAUUUAAAGAAAGCGUAAUAGCUCACUGGUCGAGUCGGCCUGCGCGGAAGAUGUAACGGGGCUAAACCAUGCACCGAAGCUGCGGCAGCGACGCUUAUGCGUUGUUGGGUAGGGGAGCGUUCUGUAAGCCUGCGAAGGUGUGCUGUGAGGCAUGCUGGAGGUAUCAGAAGUGCGAAUGCUGACAUAAGUAACGAUAAAGCGGGUGAAAAGCCCGCUCGCCGGAAGACCAAGGGUUCCUGUCCAACGUUAAUCGGGGCAGGGUGAGUCGACCCCUAAGGCGAGGCCGAAAGGCGUAGUCGAUGGGAAACAGGUUAAUAUUCCUGUACUUGGUGUUACUGCGAAGGGGGGACGGAGAAGGCUAUGUUGGCCGGGCGACGGUUGUCCCGGUUUAAGCGUGUAGGCUGGUUUUCCAGGCAAAUCCGGAAAAUCAAGGCUGAGGCGUGAUGACGAGGCACUACGGUGCUGAAGCAACAAAUGCCCUGCUUCCAGGAAAAGCCUCUAAGCAUCAGGUAACAUCAAAUCGUACCCCAAACCGACACAGGUGGUCAGGUAGAGAAUACCAAGGCGCUUGAGAGAACUCGGGUGAAGGAACUAGGCAAAAUGGUGCCGUAACUUCGGGAGAAGGCACGCUGAUAUGUAGGUGAAGUCCCUUGCGGAUGGAGCUGAAAUCAGUCGAAGAUACCAGCUGGCUGCAACUGUUUAUUAAAAACACAGCACUGUGCAAACACGAAAGUGGACGUAUACGGUGUGACGCCUGCCCGGUGCCGGAAGGUUAAUUGAUGGGGUCAGCGCAAGCGAAGCUCUUGAUCGAAGCCCCGGUAAACGGCGGCCGUAACUAUAACGGUCCUAAGGUAGCGAAAUUCCUUGUCGGGUAAGUUCCGACCUGCACGAAUGGCGUAAUGAUGGCCAGGCUGUCUCCACCCGAGACUCAGUGAAAUUGAACUCGCUGUGAAGAUGCAGUGUACCCGCGGCAAGACGGAAAGACCCCGUGAACCUUUACUAUAGCUUGACACUGAACAUUGAGCCUUGAUGUGUAGGAUAGGUGGGAGGCUUUGAAGUGUGGACGCCAGUCUGCAUGGAGCCGGCCUUGAAAUACCACCCUUUAAUGUUUGAUGUUCUAACGUGGACCCGUGAUCCGGGUUGCGGACAGUGUCUGGUGGGUAGUUUGACUGGGGCGGUCUCCUCCUAAAGAGUAACGGAGGAGCACGAAGGUUGGCUAAUCCUGGUCGGACAUCAGGAGGUUAGUGCAAUGGCAUAAGCCAGCUUGACUGCGAGCGUGACGGCGCGAGCAGGUGCGAAAGCAGGUCAUAGUGAUCCGGUGGUUCUGAAUGGAAGGGCCAUCGCUCAACGGAUAAAAGGUACUCCGGGGAUAACAGGCUGAUACCGCCCAAGAGUUCAUAUCGACGGCGGUGUUUGGCACCUCGAUGUCGGCUCAUCACAUCCUGGGGCUGAAGUAGGUCCCAAGGGUAUGGCUGUUCGCCAUUUAAAGUGGUACGCGAGCUGGGUUUAGAACGUCGUGAGACAGUUCGGUCCCUAUCUGCCGUGGGCGCUGGAGAACUGAGGGGGGCUGCUCCUAGUACGAGAGGACCGGAGUGGACGCAUCACUGGUGUUCGGGUUGUCAUGCCAAUGGCACUGCCCGGUAGCUAAAUGCGGAAGAGAUAAGUGCUGAAAGCAUCUAAGCACGAAACUUGCCCCGAGAUGAGUUCUCCCUGACCCUUUAAGGGUCCUGAAGGAACGUUGAAGACGACGACGUUGAUAGGCCGGGUGUGUAAGCGCAGCGAUGCGUUGAGCUAACCGGUACUAAUGAACCGUGAGGCUUAACCUU